GACGAACGCUGGCGGCGUGCUUAACACAUGCAAGUCGAACGGAAAGGCCCCUUUGGGGGUACUCGAGUGGCGAACGGGUGAGUAACACGUGCGUAACCUGCCCUUGACUUCGGGAUAACUUCAGGAAACUGGGGCUAAUACCGGAUAGGAAUCCUUGCUGCAUGGUGGGGGUUGGAAAGCUUCGGCGGUUUUGGAUGGACUCGCGGCUUAUCAGCUUGUUGGUGGGGUAGUGGCUUACCAAGGCUUUGACGGGUAGCCGGCCUGAGAGGGCGACCGGCCACAUUGGGACUGAGAUACGGCCCAGACUCCUACGGGAGGCAGAAGUGGGGAAGAUUGCACAAUGGGCGGAAGCCUGAUGCAGCAACGCCGCGUGCGGGAUGACGGCCUUCGGGUUGUAAACCGCUUUCAGCAGGGGCGAAGCUUGUGGUGACGGUACCUGCAGAAGAAGCACCGGCUAACUACGUG
RNAcentral lists this ribosomal RNA (465 nucleotides) under uncultured bacterium. RNAcentral describes it as "partial 16S ribosomal RNA". It matches the Rfam family "Bacterial small subunit ribosomal RNA", at positions 28 to 507 of the family's 1533-position model. The record is from RNAcentral.